AGUUUUGUUGUAAAUAUUUGUUAUGUCAUUAGCCUUCAUUAGCCAUUUUAAAAUCUCAAAAUCUCUACUGAUUAUUCAGGUUGGCAGUCACCUAGAAAGUUUGGUUAGUUAACUUAUACUUUAAGAGUUUUAUUUUUUUCUCAACUUUUAAAGUUUGCAAAGUACAUGUUAUCUGGUAAUUAUAGCUUACCAAGAAUAUAUAUAUUAAAUAAUUUAUUUCCCUUAGGUACAAUCAGCAAUCUUCACGUUUCAUAAUUAAUUAUCUCUUCUCGUUACCACUGGUGUUGAUCGAUGGUAGGUAUAAAUACCAUAUAAUAUAUCAAUGUCCCCUGUGCAUUCCUACUUGAACAGAAUACACAAUCGAUUUUUAUCUCCAAUGUAAACACAUUGGUGUUUCUACUUCCG
RNAcentral lists this long non-coding RNA (405 nucleotides) under Mytilus galloprovincialis (Mediterranean mussel). Lineage: Eukaryota; Metazoa; Mollusca; Bivalvia; Mytilida; Mytilidae. The record is from RNAcentral.